Molecule: ribosomal RNA, 641 nt
Filed under: Halarcobacter bivalviorum
Lineage: Bacteria; Pseudomonadati; Campylobacterota; Epsilonproteobacteria; Campylobacterales; Arcobacteraceae
Description: bacterial SSU rRNA
Rfam family: Bacterial small subunit ribosomal RNA
Source: RNAcentral
GAACGAGAACGGGUUUAGUUUACUAAACUGUCAGCUAAGUGGCGCACGGGUGAGUAAUGUAUAGUUAACCUGCCCUCUAGAAAGGAAUAACAGUUGGAAACGACUGCUAAUGCCCUAUAUGCCCAUAAUACAUAAGUAUGCUGGGGAAACGCUUUAGUGCUAGAGGAUGGGACUGUAUGGUAUCAGAUAGUUGGUGAGGUAAUGGCUCACCAAGUCAAUGACGCCUAACUGGUUUGAGAGGAUGAUCAGUCACACUGGAACUGAGACACGGUCCAGACUCCUACGGGAGGCAGCAGUGGGGAAUAUUGCACAAUGGAGGAAACUCUGAUGCAGCAACGCCGCGUGGAGGAUGACACUUUUCGGAGCGUAAACUCCUUUUAUAUAGGAAGAUAAUGACGGUACUAUAUGAAUAAGCACCGGCUAACUCCGUGCCAGCAGCCGCGGUAAUACGGAGGGUGCAAGCGUUACUCGGAAUCACUGGGCGUAAAGAGCGUGUAGGCGGGUUAUUAAGUCAGAAGUGAAAUCCUAUGGCUCAACCAUAGAACUGCUUUUGAAACUGGUAACCUAGAGUAUGGGAGAGGUAGAUGGAAUUUCUGGUGUAGGGGUAAAAUCCGUAGAGAUCAGAAGGAAUACCGAUUGCG